RNAcentral lists this ribosomal RNA (119 nucleotides) under Pteropus alecto (black flying fox). Lineage: Eukaryota; Metazoa; Chordata; Mammalia; Chiroptera; Pteropodidae. The record is from RNAcentral.
GUCUACAGCCAUGCUACCCUGAACAAGCCUGAUCCCAUCUGAUCUUGGAAGCUAAGCAGGGUUGGGCCUGGUUAGUACUUGAAUGGGAGACCACCUAGGAAGACCAGGUGCUGUAGGUG